UUACUCUUUUUUUUUCUCUAAUCAAAAUUUGGACUCAACUCUGUGAUUCACAAUUGGGGAUAAACUUGUCUGCUGCUUCUUGCUGAAUGAACUCUUGGAGCAGCAAUCGUCUACCAGGAUGGAGUAUUCUUUGAGCUUCGAACUGCUUGACGGGAAUAUUGAGGUAUAACCUUUCAGUUGUUAUUUUUGAAGGGUUUAUAUGUUAUUUUUUCCUUUUUAAUUUAUCAUAAUUAGUCAGUCCAUGGUCGACUCUCUGCUAAUUUUGAGGUAGAACUUUUUUAAGGUUUAAAAUAAGUGAAAUUUACUAAUCGAUGAUUUAAAAAUUUGAGAUAUAACCCCCUUUUAGAUUUUUGUUUGUACUGUCGGACUACAUUGCCCAUUGAUUUCUCAUCUAGAUAGAGUUAUCUAGUAAAUGUGCUCGUGUGACGUAGCAGGUAUCCCAUAAAAUUAGUCGAGGUACACACAAGCUAAUCGGAACGCCAUUGUUAUUUUUUUAAAAAAGAACUUGAAGUUGCUACUUCCUUUAAGAUUUGUAUGCUACUCAUUAUUUGUUGACAAGGCGCCCAUAGCUGCCACCUUCUGAUCUUGUAUAUGAAACUCCCCCAGGAAGCGAGCCUAAUAUUUGAAUCUUGAAGACUGAUUUACAAAUGGAACUGAGUUAUCACGGCUCUUGAAUAGAUCAAGCAAAGGUAGAAUGGAGAUCUUUAAAAAAAAUGCUCAAUGACACUGCAAGUAAAAUAAAAUAAAAUAAAUAACAUGAAGAAAAUAUUAGCCAGUACCUUUGUCAUUCAUGUAAUUUGGUAUAGUUAGCAUAACUGAGAUGCCUCAACUGAACUGUAUGCUACAUUUGCUGAUGGCUAUUUAUUUAGAUGCCCAACUAAAAUAAGAUAGAAAUACUGUAAAGCUAAAGUGGUCGACCAAGGGUAAUUUUGACAUUUCAAACCUUAGGUAGAAUUGAAAACCCCCUCAUUCAUUCUCUGUUUUGCAUUUUGUAUCUCUCAAAUUCAUUUUUACAUUCUUCAUCUAGAGUAUUCUAAGUUCAGAGUCCCUGAUAGCCCCAUCUAGCUUUCUUCUUCGUCGUCUUCUUUUAGAGAGGUAAUGAUUAUCUCUCUGCUAUUUACUUAUAGUUAUAGAUUACUGAAGUUCAAAGAUGUGUAUUUCUAGCCAAGUUGGUGGCUACUGCUCCAGUUAAACUUGGGGAAAGAAACAGUGAGAUCAUUUCGUGACAAUUUGAGAGUUUCCAAAUUGGGUAGGAGGAAAGGUACAUGGUUAUAAAUUGAUUAUUUUACCAUGGGAUCUUUUUUCAAUUUGUGGUUAUGACAAUGAAGCUAACUUCCUAUAGGUCCUUUUAUUGAUAAAUCAAAGGAGUAGGGCUUCAAUUUUGUUUGCUUUAUCUUUUUGAGCAAUUCAAUAACUCCACAUCAACUGUAUCGAGUGACAUUUUCCAUUCAAAUAUAAUUAACAAAAGAAUUCAAAAAAGAUUGUAUUGUACAAUUUUGUUUCACCAAUAUUUCUUGAGUAGAUGCUCUUAAACCGUUUGAUACUGUAUAUGCUCAUCAUUCCAAUAUAUAUCAUUUUGCACAGUUGGUUAAACAAUCCAAUUCACUGAAAUUGAAUCAUCCUAAAGAAUUUAGUGUUUGACUGAAAGGAAUGGAACUUGGGCCUAACUCAGAGGUGAGGAUUGCCCAAGCCAUAUAAGGAGACCAAGGACCUCAAAUCCCUCCGAUGUGGGACAACUCAAC
RNAcentral lists this long non-coding RNA (1742 nucleotides) under Nicotiana benthamiana. RNAcentral describes it as "long non-coding RNA (NBEN_LNC036956)". Lineage: Eukaryota; Viridiplantae; Streptophyta; Magnoliopsida; Solanales; Solanaceae. The record is from RNAcentral.